CUUACCAGGUCCGGACACAGGAAGGAUUGACAGAUUGAUAGCUCUUUCUUAAUUUCUGUGGGUGGUGGUGCAUGGCCGUUCUUAGUUCGUGGAACUGAUCUGUCAGCUUAAUUGCGUUAACGAACGAGACCUUUAAUUAUUAAUUAGUUAAAUAUAUUUUUUAUAUACUUUAUUUUCUUUUUCUUCAUUUGAGAAAGAAAACAUGACUUCUUAAAAUAACAAUUGGUGAUUAACCAAAGUAAGUUAAAGGCAAUAACAGGUCUGUGAUGCCCUUUAGAUGUUCUGGGCUGCACGCGCGUUACACUGAAAAUAUCAAUAAGUUUUAUAUAUCCAAACAAUAAAAUCUUUUUUUUCUUGUUUUGAUAUGUCCUUGAUUGAAAAAUUUGGUAAACUUGAUAACUAUUUUCGUGUAUGGGGAUUGAUAAUUGUAAUUAUUUAUCAUGAACGAGGAAUACCUAGUAAACGCAAGUCAAUUAACUUG
Molecule: ribosomal RNA, 481 nt
Filed under: uncultured eukaryote
Lineage: Eukaryota
Description: bacterial SSU rRNA
Rfam family: Eukaryotic small subunit ribosomal RNA
Source: RNAcentral